RNAcentral lists this ribosomal RNA (1402 nucleotides) under Klebsiella quasipneumoniae. RNAcentral's name for it is "bacterial SSU rRNA". It matches the Rfam family "Bacterial small subunit ribosomal RNA". Lineage: Bacteria; Pseudomonadati; Pseudomonadota; Gammaproteobacteria; Enterobacterales; Enterobacteriaceae. The record is from RNAcentral.
UGCAGUCGAGCGGUAGCACAGAGAGCUUGCUCUCGGGUGACGAGCGGCGGACGGGUGAGUAAUGUCUGGGAAACUGCCUGAUGGAGGGGGAUAACUACUGGAAACGGUAGCUAAUACCGCAUAACGUCGCAAGACCAAAGUGGGGGACCUUCGGGCCUCAUGCCAUCAGAUGUGCCCAGAUGGGAUUAGCUAGUAGGUGGGGUAACGGCUCACCUAGGCGACGAUCCCUAGCUGGUCUGAGAGGAUGACCAGCCACACUGGAACUGAGACACGGUCCAGACUCCUACGGGAGGCAGCAGUGGGGAAUAUUGCACAAUGGGCGCAAGCCUGAUGCAGCCAUGCCGCGUGUGUGAAGAAGGCCUUCGGGUUGUAAAGUACUUUCAGCGGGGAGGAAGGCGAUAAGGUUAAUAACCUUGUCGAUUGACGUUACCCGCAGAAGAAGCACCGGCUAACUCCGUGCCAGCAGCCGCGGUAAUACGGAGGGUGCAAGCGUUAAUCGGAAUUACUGGGCGUAAAGCGCACGCAGGCGGUCUGUCAAGUCGGAUGUGAAAUCCCCGGGCUCAACCUGGGAACUGCAUUCGAAACUGGCAGGCUAGAGUCUUGUAGAGGGGGGUAGAAUUCCAGGUGUAGCGGUGAAAUGCGUAGAGAUCUGGAGGAAUACCGGUGGCGAAGGCGGCCCCCUGGACAAAGACUGACGCUCAGGUGCGAAAGCGUGGGGAGCAAACAGGAUUAGAUACCCUGGUAGUCCACGCCGUAAACGAUGUCGAUUUGGAGGUUGUGCCCUUGAGGCGUGGCUUCCGGAGCUAACGCGUUAAAUCGACCGCCUGGGGAGUACGGCCGCAAGGUUAAAACUCAAAUGAAUUGACGGGGGCCCGCACAAGCGGUGGAGCAUGUGGUUUAAUUCGAUGCAACGCGAAGAACCUUACCUGGUCUUGACAUCCACAGAACUUAGCAGAGAUGGUUUGGUGCCUUCGGGAACUGUGAGACAGGUGCUGCAUGGCUGUCGUCAGCUCGUGUUGUGAAAUGUUGGGUUAAGUCCCGCAACGAGCGCAACCCUUAUCCUUUGUUGCCAGCGGUUCGGCCGGGAACUCAAAGGAGACUGCCAGUGAUAAACUGGAGGAAGGUGGGGAUGACGUCAAGUCAUCAUGGCCCUUACGACCAGGGCUACACACGUGCUACAAUGGCAUAUACAAAGAGAAGCGACCUCGCGAGAGCAAGCGGACCUCAUAAAGUAUGUCGUAGUCCGGAUUGGAGUCUGCAACUCGACUCCAUGAAGUCGGAAUCGCUAGUAAUCGUAGAUCAGAAUGCUACGGUGAAUACGUUCCCGGGCCUUGUACACACCGCCCGUCACACCAUGGGAGUGGGUUGCAAAAGAAGUAGGUAGCUUAACCUUCGGGAGGGC